This 77-nucleotide transfer RNA is filed under the name Rhodospirillaceae bacterium. RNAcentral's name for it is "tRNA-His". It matches the Rfam family "tRNA". Rfam says of the family: Transfer RNA (tRNA) molecules are approximately 80 nucleotides in length. Their secondary structure includes four short double-helical elements and three loops (D, anti-codon, and T loops). RNAcentral also lists the same sequence under 1 other name. Lineage: Bacteria; Pseudomonadati; Pseudomonadota; Alphaproteobacteria; Rhodospirillales; Rhodospirillaceae. The record is from RNAcentral.
GUGGCUGUAGCUCAGCUGGUUAGAGCGCCGGCUUGUGGUGCCGGAGGCCGCGGGUUCGAAUCCCGUCAGCCACCCCA